UAUUCACUGAGCUCUCGUCUCCCAGGAAAAGGGAAAUGCCCCUCCCCUCCACGCUAUGAACAAGAACCACAACUAACUGGCUGAAGUAUGAAAAUUGCUGAAGGGCAUUUUCUAUCACACUUUGGGCAGCUGCACAUGAAAUUGAUGGAAAAUUACCUUUCCAAGGUGAGGUGAGUUUAAUUGCUAAUUUGAUGAAAGGGAGGAAAUACUUAAGACACUUUGGCCUUGGAAAGCGUGGAAGGAUCUUGGAGGAGGAUGAGAAAUUUUCUGACAAACAUCUUGGUAACAAAAUUUCCUACUGCUUGUUCAGUGCGUGAAUUCUUUUUUGAUCAUCUUUGAAAGGCGAACAGAAACAACCAAUUCAGAAAUGUAUAAAAAUCAACACUUUUUAAAAAUUACAAAUUAGAAACAAGAGUCAUAGUAGUGAGGGCGUUCUACGCAGGAAGAGUUUGG
Molecule: long non-coding RNA, 453 nt
Filed under: Gallus gallus (chicken)
Lineage: Eukaryota; Metazoa; Chordata; Aves; Galliformes; Phasianidae
Source: RNAcentral